This is a long non-coding RNA of Manis javanica (Malayan pangolin), 1025 nucleotides long. RefSeq lists it as uncharacterized. The record is from RefSeq and is a predicted model, not a curated record. Lineage: Eukaryota; Metazoa; Chordata; Mammalia; Pholidota; Manidae.
GGACACGCAAAGGCCCAGUGUGUUGGAAUUGCCACCCUCACUCCCUGCCUGGGGCAAGGGCGGUCAUGUUUGGGUCUAGGGGUACCACUCCUGUCCCUUUGGAAAGAAGGGAGAAGCAGCACCCCCUUCUGGCCCUUAGUUUUUCCAUCUGCAAAAUAAACCUACUUAAGCAGAUGACUCCCAGCGACCCCUGAAACUGAGAUUUCCCAUCUCCAGGGUGGGAGAAGCGCAGUGGGGAGGGGAGGACGGGUAGGUCUAGUCAGAUCUGUCAUCACCCUGCAGUUGAUCUGUUUCCCCAAUCCACUCCAGUCAUCUCAAACUGGACUUCAGGGGGCCACUGACUUUUCAAGUAUUCUUCUUCCUGGCCUCAUCCUGCGCUCUUGAGUCCUGCUCCUGAGUAGAGGAGAAUUGGAUGCAGCCCUCUAGGGCCUUGAAGUAUGAGAGGGGAAACUGCUAACCAGAACGACAGAGGAAACAGCUGGGAAGAGGCAGCUCAAGGUUGUGACGGUGCGCGAGAUGGCUGGACAGGCGGCAGUCUGCAGUCUUCUCGGCUCUCUGGCCUCCCAUCUGCCCACAUCCACCACCAAAAACCUUACUUAUUCCUAGGACCUGGCCUUCUCCUUUAAGCUUCCUGCAAGAACCAGUCCUCUUAAGCCCCAUACUAGCUGCAUCCCAGAAAGCCCUCCGUGCUGCCAAGAUGACAUCACCUGCUCAGUAACUCCACCUAAUGUCUGAAGCCAGACAUGUCGCUCCAUGUGCUUCCAGGAAGCAGCAGGAUGUAGGGGAAAGAGCACAGAAAUCAGACAGCCUUCUGCCUCAGUCCCGCUCUGCCACACAUCAGCAGGUGACAGAAGGCUGCCCAGGAACCCUCGGCCCAAGGAAGCAGAACUCAGGAACUUCAAUCCAAUGAAUGAACCAACAGUGACCGAGCCCCCAGGGCCCCAAAUUCACAGGCAGGAGAUCCUCCAGGAAACCUCCAUAGAACACUAUGCUCUGAGCUGGGUGUCAAGAAAGCAGGAUGUCGG